Long non-coding RNA from Acinonyx jubatus (cheetah), 6806 nucleotides. RefSeq lists it as uncharacterized. NCBI's taxonomy places the organism in Eukaryota, Metazoa, Chordata, Mammalia, Carnivora, Felidae. The transcript has 2 exons. The record is from RefSeq and is a predicted model, not a curated record.
UUUUUCUCUUCACUCUAGAUAGAUGACUUAGAAAUAAGUGUACUACUCUCAUAUAGUGGUGUCUUGACACUGCAUGGGAGAAAUACAUACUAUUAAAGGAUAUGCUCUAUUUUUUAUUUAAGAAACUUCUUGUUUCAUUCUGAAACAAGAAUGAACUUUUUGUUAGCUUGUGUUAUCUGAGUUACAGCUUUAAGAAGAUACAUUUGUUCUCUUUCACUAUAGCCCAGUGCUAACACCAAUAAGCCUUCUUUAUUUCUAGGUAUAUAGUUAGCUAUGGAAGCCGAAAUUAUCUUUAGUACACAAAAAUUGUUCUUUCUUUCUUGAAUAUUUAUAAGGGGUUCAAGUAAGCUACUAAGAUAAUGCCAAUGUUGGAUGCUUCUAGAGAGAUAGGCUUCUUACCACUCAAUUACUAUUAGCCAUAUGCCUUUUCUUUUAGAAAUGUUUAUGCUUCUAACAUAUAAUCCUAUUAAUGUUUUUUUUUAACAAAUAUUCAGUUUAUGCACUUCCAAAGCUUAUUGUAUAAGCUCUUUUUUAUCCCUAGUAUCUUGCAUUGUGCUUGGGAUAAAGAACAGUGGCCAAGAAAUUUUUGAUCUGUGUAGGUAAAUGAAUAGCAAAUAUCUCAGUUCCUCCUUUGUUGGUUUAGGUUAACCUUUGUUUGUAGGUUUUUGAAAUCUAAAUGCAUCUUCUAAUUCUAACCUAUUUCUGUCAUUCUUUGUCACAAGCUGAUGAAAAAUGUUUUGCAUUUAUUGUUAAUUUGUCAUUUAGCAGAUUGAAAUUAGUUAACUGGAGUGUGUUACCAUAUUUAAUCCUUUGCAAUAGGUAAUAGUCCCUUUGCUCAAGACUUUAUAAAUUAUUUUUAACGUUUAUUUAUUUUUGAGACAGAGAGAGACAGAGCAUGAAUGGGGGAGGGUCAGAGAGAGAGGGAGACACAGAAUCCAAAGGAGACUCCAGGCUGUGAGCUGUCAGCACAGAGCCUGAUGCAGGGCUCGAACUCACGGACUAUGAGAUUCAUGACCUAAGCCGAAAUCGGACGCUUAACCGACUGAGCCACCCAGGCGCCCCAGGACUCAAGACUUUAAUAAGUAGUAGAGUUAUAAUUUGAACCUGAGGUAGUUCUCUUCCCGUUAUACUUUGUUUUCAGUUUUUACUUUUAUGUACUUGUGUGAUUUUUAAUUUUUUUAUUACUUUUUUUUUAAAGUUUAUUUAUUUUGAGAGAGAGCAAAAGAGUGCAAGCUGGGAAGGGGAAGAGAGAGGGAGAGACAGAAUCCCAAGCAGGCUCUGCGCCAUCAGCACAGAGUCCGAUGUGGGGCUCAAUCCCACGAAACAUGAGAUCAUGACCUGAGCUGAGAUCAAGAGUCGGACUCUUAACCAACUGAGCCACCUAGGCACCCCAUCUUGUGUGAUUUUUUUAGAUUACUUGGGAAUUCAGUCAUUCAGUAAAUGUUCAUUAAGUAACUGUUACAUUCUGAGCACUUCUAAGCAUUGAAGAUACAUCAGUGAGAAAACUGAAAUUCCUGUCCUUAUGUUCUGACAUUCUGGUAUGCCUCAAAGCUUAAAUACACCUGGCUUUAGAACCAUUUCUUUCUUCCUUCUUCUGCUAUCUCCUUGAGUCAGCAUGUAACCAACAAUAAUAUUCUUUUACAACAUAGUCUUUAAAGGUGAUACUCUACCAAGAUUAUAGUAUAUUGCUAUGUUAUCACUUAACCUGGCCUAUUUCUAUAGGUGACUUAGUAAAUACUACUGAGGUAAUACCAGAGAAUAGAACAGUAUUAAACUUCUAAGAGGAAAUACUUAAGGAUUUGCUUUUAGUAACAUCAAGUAGAAGCCAAAGUUAAUUCUCAAAUGUGGAUGGGCUUGUUCUGAUGGAGAUAGGGAAUAAGGUAGGGAUAAGAGGAAAGAGCUGUAAGGGCUGGAGCCACUUUCCAUAGUAACCCCCCAAGACACUUCUGUAUUCUAGUUCUAAUUUUUUUAUUUUCUUCUAUCACUCUUCAUGGACUGGCUUUUUUACUUCUCUUUCCACGAUUACUUCUAAUCAUGUUUUCCCUUCUUGAUUUCUUGGAGAAAAGAAACAGUCUUGUUGUUAAGCCAUAUACAUACUUUGUCCAACUUUUCUAAUGUUUUUUUAAGUGCUGGUAAAAAUGGAAAAAUAAAAUAUUUUAAUUUUCUGCUUUGCGUCUUUCCUUCAGUUUCCUUAUGUUUCUUUCUCUACCUAAACUCUACCUCUGGAUCACUCUCUUACAGUUCUCUUUUAAUCUGCAGCUCGUAUCCCCAAGUUUAGAACAGAGUGGUCACACAAGAAUGUUAUACACCUAUCACUCCCUGUGUGUGUGCUUCUACAGCACUUUUUAUGUCCCUUAUAGCACACAAUAUUAUUUCCUAAUGAUGUGAUUGUGAGUUCCUUUGGGCUAGGGUUGUUAGUAAACAUUUACUGGCAUAUAAUAUAGUAGUAAACAUCUUUUAAAUGAACAUUAUCAUUUCUUUGUAAUUAUUUCAGGUUAGAGAAGUUCUUUUACAUAAUAGUACGUUCAAUUACACGAUAAUUUUGUUAUAUGAAUUUGGGGGAAAAAUUGAAGACUGGUCAAAGUGACAUGCACUUUCAGAUAUUCUUUAUUUUGCUAAAGUGCUUUUGAUAUGCAAAGACAAAACUAUGCUUGAAGCUGUUACUAUAAAGAUGGUUUUCAUUAGAAGUUUGAAACUCUAAGGAAUCUUCAAAGGCCAUAUAAUUAUGUAGCUUCCAAUACAUGAUCUCGAGCCACUGGGCUUCUGAGUGUAUCAGAGUCACCCAGGAGAUGUCUUACAGAGAUUCUAGGCCUCACUCAGACUUCUUGGGCUGUGGUGGCAAUUAUGGAAAUAUGUAUUUUAAAAAGCUUUAUAGUUUUAUUAACAUGAAUUAGAUUUGGGAAUCACUGAUUUACUCUAACCACACAGUAGAAAAGUUCUCCUUCUAACAUCUCUGGUAAGUGAUCCUCUGUUUUGGAUAUUUUAUUCAUUCUACUAUGGAAAAACUAUAAAUUAUUGUCAAGUUUUUCCUAAAUUGAACCUGAAAACUCCUUCUUUCUAGUGGCCACUUACUGGUUCUAGUUUUGUCCACUGGAGCAAUACAGAAUAAAUUUCCUUGUUUUAAGUGGUAGCCCUUUAUCUAUUCAAAAAUGUGUUAAGCCCAAAAAGUCAUCUCUUUUCCUUCCUUCCUUCCUUCUUUCUUUCUUUCUUUCUUUCUUUCUUUCUUUCUUUCUUUCUUUCUUUCUUUCUUUCUUUCUUUCUUUCUUUCUUUCUUUCAAGUUAGUUAACAUACAGUGUGGUCUUGGUUUUAGGAGUAGAACCCAGCGACUCGUCUCUUACAUAUGACACCCAGUUCUCAUCACUAAAAGUGCCCUCCUUAGUGCCCAUCACCCAUUUAACCUAUUCCUCUACCCACCUCCCCUCCAGCGACCCUUAGUUCUCUGUAUUUAAGAGUCUCUUACGGUUUGUCUCCCUGUUUUUAUCUUAUUUUUGCUUCCCUUCCCUUAUGUUCAUCUGUUGUGUUUCUUAAAUUCCACAUAGGAGUGAAAUCAUAUAUUUGUCUUUCUCUGACUGACUUAUUUUGCUUAGCAUAAUACUUGCUAGUUGCAUUCACAUUGUUGCAAAUGGCAAGAUUUCAUUUUUUUAAUUGCGAGUAAUAUUUCAUUGUAUGUAUAUAUGUACACACACCCCACAUCUUCUUUAUCCAUUCAUUAGUUAAUGGACAUUUGGGCUCUUUCCAUACUUUGUUGAUAGUGCUGCUAUAAACAUUAGAGUGCAUGUGCCCCUUCAAAUCAGCAUUUUUGUAUCUUUCGGAUAAAUACCUAGUAGUGCAAUUGCUGGGUCGUAGGGUAGGUCUGUUUUUAAUUUUUUGAGGAACCUCCAUACUGUUCUCCAUAGUGGCUGCACCAGUUUGCGUUCCAAAUAGCAGUGCAAAAAUGUUCCUCUUUCUCUGCAUUCUUGCCAACAUCUGUUGUUUCCGGAGUUGUUCAUUUUAGCCAUUCUGACAGGUGUGAGGUGGUAUCUCAUUGUGGUUUUGGUUUGUAUUUCCCUGAUGACGAGUGAGGCUGAGCAUCUUUUCAUGUGUCUGUUAGUCAUCUGGAUGUCUUCUUUGAAAAAGUGUCUGUUCAUGUCUUCUGCCCAUUUCUGCACUAGAUUAUUUGUUUUUUGGGUGUUGAGUUUGGUAAAUUCUUUCUAGAUUUUGGAUACUAACCCUUUAUCCAAUAGUCAUUUGCAAAUAUCUUCUCCCAUUCUGUAGGCUGCCUCUUAGUUUUGUUGAUUGUUUCCUUCACUGUGCGACAUCUCUCUUGUUUUUUAACCAUUUUUUGAUUAAGAUUUCUCUCGUACCACCCCAUGGUUUCUUUUUCAAGAUCUACUCUUUUUGGUGUGUUUAAGUUGUGAUCUUUCAGUUGUAGUUAAUAAUAAGCAAUGAAGUGAAACUAUUACUUUAUCUUGGUUUGAUAAUUUCAUUAAAGCAGCCUAAAUUUUGUUUAGUUUAGUUUUGGCAGCAGUGUCAUGUUGGCUUAUUGAACUUGUUUUUAAAGCUGCCUUUUUUUUUUAAACAUUUUUUUUAAAUGUUUAUUUAUAUUUGAGAGAGAAAGACAGAGGGUGAGAGGGGGGAGGGGCAGAGAGAGAGGGAGACCGAAUCCGAAGUAGGCUCCAGGUUCUGAGCUGUCAGCACAAAGCCCAAUGCAGGGCUCGAACUCACAAGCAGUGAGAUCAUGACCUGAGCCGAAGUCGGACGCUUAACCAACUGAGCCACCCCGGUGCCCCUCCCUCUCUUUAAAUACUGCAUUGCCUUAGUUAUUAUAGCAUUAUAAUAAGUGUUUGGUGGCAUAAACUUUGUGUUUUUCUCAAGAUUGUGUUGGCUAUUCUUAGCCCUUUGCUCUUUGAAUAUAUUUUAAAAUGCACUGGUCAAUUAAAAAGUUUGGGGAGUCAGUUACUGAAUCUGUCAGUUUGGGGAGAAUUCUUUGUAAUAUGAGUCUUCCAUUUCAUGAACAUAGACUAUCUCUCCAUGUUCUUUAAAGUUGGUCCUCUGGGGCACCUGGGUGGCUCAGUCCGUAAAGCAUCUGACUUCGGCUCAGGGCAUGGUCUCACGGUUCAUGAGUUUGAGCCCCUUGUCAGGCUGUGUGCUGACAACUCAGAGCCUGGAGCCUGCUUCAGAUUCUGUCUCUCUCUCUCUCUCUCUAGCCCCACUUCCUCUGCUUGCGCUCUGUCUCUCAAAACUGAAUAAAUGUUAAAAAAAAAAAAAAAUUAAAGUUGGUCCUAAGUUUCUUUUAAUAAUGGUUCGUAGUUUAGGUUUAUUUCUAGAUAUUUGAGUCUUGGUGAGGCUAUUACAAAUGGUAUUUUAGAUUUUUUAUUUUUUUAAUAUGCUGUUUCUGUACACGUAUAUGGAAAUAAAAUAGCUUUUUAUAUAUUGAUUAUACUAAAUUAGCUUACAGACUGAUUUGUAUUUUUUUUAUUUAAAAAAAUUUUAAUGUUUAUUAGUUUUGAGAGAGAGCUAGAGAGUGUGAGCUGGGGAGGGGCAGAGAGAGAGCGAGAGACACAGAAUCCGAAGCAGGUUCCAGGCCUCCAGCUGUCAGCACAGAGGCCAAGGUGGGCUUUGAACUCACAAACCGUGAGAUCAUGACCUGAGCCAAAGUCAGACACUUAAGCAACUGAGCCACCCAGGCAUCCCAGACUCAUUUGUAUUUUUGUAUAUUAUACAUAGACAUGUUUACUGUAAAUAAUCAUGGUUUUGUUUCUUCCUAUCCAGUUCUUAAUACUUUUUAUUUAUUUUUCUUGUUUUAUGGAAUUAGCUAGGGCCUCCAGAAUCCCACUGAAUAUAAGUAGCAAGUAUCUUUGUCUCAGUUUUAGUUUGAGGGGAAAGUUUUGAGUAUUUCACCAUUAUGUAUAAUAUUUGUUAUAUAUUCUUUAGGUCAUCUUGAUCAGAUUAGGAAGAUUAUCUCCCUUAAUUUGUCAAGAGAUUUUUUUCUAAAUAGGUGUUAAGGUUUUUUACAUCAUUGGAUUUUGUUAAGUUUGCUUAGGAAUAUUGCAUUUAUGUUCAUGGGUAAGAUUGGUUUGUAAUGCCUUUUGUCAGGUUUUCAUAAUAAAGUAUGCUGGCUUUGUAAAGUGAAUUGGGAAAUGUUCCUGCUUUUUUUAAAAAAAAAAUGCUCUCUCUCAAUUUGUUUAGGUCGGUGUUAUUUCUUUCUUAAAGGUUGGCAGGUUCCACUGGGGGCCUAGAGAUUUAUUUGUGGGAAAGUAUUAAAUAAUUCAAUUUCUUUGAUAAAUGUGAGACUAAUCAGGUCUUCAUUUAAAUCUUAUUUUAGUUUUGUAAAUUGUGUUUUUCAAGGAAUUCAUUUAUUUCAUUUAAAUUGUCAAAUUAUUUGUGUAAAGUUGUUUAAUAUCAUGUUUCUUUUUUUUUUAAAGGUGGAGAGAGUGCACACAUGAGCAGGGGAGGGGGAGAGAGAGAGAGAGAGAGAGAGAGAGAGAGAGAAUUGUAAGCAGGCUCCAUGCCCAGCACAGAGCCCCCACAUGUGAGUUGAUCUCACAACCAUGAGAUCACGACCUGAGUGUAAAUCAAGAGUCAGACGCUCAACCAGCUGAGCCACCCAGGCAGCCCUAUAAUAUCUUUUUAACACUGAAAAAGUUCAUAAUGAUGUUCUUUUUUCAUUUACUUAGUGAUUUGUGCUUUUUUUUUGAUUAGUGUUUCUAGAGAUCUGUGGAUUAGUCUCUUAGUUCUGUUGAUAUUCCCUGUUGUACAUUUGCUUUUUUUUUUUUUUUUUUAAGUAGGCUUCCCACCCAGCACAGAACCCAGUGUGGGGCUUGAA